This 69-nucleotide transfer RNA is filed under the name Marmota monax (woodchuck). Its description in RNAcentral is "tRNA.Ala". Lineage: Eukaryota; Metazoa; Chordata; Mammalia; Rodentia; Sciuridae. The record is from RNAcentral.
GGAGUUGUGGCUCAGUGGUAGAGGGCUCGCCUAGCGUGUGUGAAGCACUGAGUUUGAUUCUCAGCACCA